UCGGCUUCUUGUGUCACACACGCGCACAGUUUUCCCUUUCCCAGCUUAACAAGCGAUAGCGACGCUGUUAAAUUAAAUUUAGCGACAAACGAGUUGCUUUCUUGUCAUUCGAUAUGUAAAGACAGACCGCGAGGCGCGAGCACAUGUUAACCGGCGGCGGAGGAUCACGGAGGCUCGGCUCGAGCCGGCGUCUACUCUGUCACUGAGAGGCAGGGACAAGCAGCACAUUCACUUCACAGUCGGUACGGCAGGUAACGCGUCGAUAAAUGAAAACGAAACAGCGUUUCCAAGAACCGGUGUCUUAGUGUGCAGAGUUUUAACGUCCAUCCAUUGAUGAGGCUAGCAAGACCUUCAUACAACUUCAGCCAAUUGCAACAAAUGUGGUGGAAUUUCUUCUCUGGACAGAAUCCUCGAAACCCUUUCCUUUCGUCCUGGCCAUGGGAAACAUGCAGCAGAUCUCUCAAUCUUUUUUCUCAAUCAGUCUCUCUGAUGGAGCCAAUACGGAAGUGACUUAAACUGCAAUUCGGCCAAGAUGGCGAUGGCACGCACCGCCUACUUUAAGCUUCAAAAAUGCUCUUCACAAACCAAUGGGUGACGUCACAGACACUACUUGCAUAUUUUUUACAGUCUCUGGUUUAAAGGCAUUUUAAGUGCUUGAAAAUAAAUACCCCAGGCAAUGUGCUUCUAUGGGAAUUCCUGUAGUCUGUCAUUUUUUAAAUGGAUGAAUCCUCUCCUGUUCGAAUCCUUUGAACAUCUUUGUUCGCGACGAGUAACUUUAAUAAAUGAAGUAUUUUUUGUCAAAUACAUUCCAUUCUGUGAAACUUAAAACAUUUGUUCUGUAAAAAAACUUUACACAUCUAUGAAUGAUUUUACUUUUAAUUUAACAAUUACAUUGUUUCUUUUCUUACACUGCUGUAGUUUUGUUUAUGUACAUUUCAGUAUUUCAUUUAUAUACUGUAAA
Misgurnus anguillicaudatus (oriental weatherfish) is the source of this 961-nucleotide non-coding RNA. The record is from RefSeq and is a predicted model, not a curated record. NCBI's taxonomy places the organism in Eukaryota, Metazoa, Chordata, Actinopteri, Cypriniformes, Cobitidae.